Molecule: transfer-messenger RNA, 381 nt
Filed under: Gammaproteobacteria bacterium
Lineage: Bacteria; Pseudomonadati; Pseudomonadota; Gammaproteobacteria
Rfam family: transfer-messenger RNA
About the family: Bacterial tmRNA, also known as 10Sa RNA or SsrA, is named for its dual tRNA and mRNA-like properties. Its role is to liberate the mRNA from a stalled ribosome.
Source: RNAcentral
GGGGGUGACUUGGCUUCGACGCCGGUUGCGAAACCCAAGGUGCAUGCCGAGAGGGUAGUGACUCUCGUAAAACAAUCACUGUAACUAGUUAUAGUUGCCAACGACGAAAACUACGCACUAGCAGCAUAAACUCUGACCUUCGGGUCACUUUUUGUUAGCUAACCUCGGGGCGGAUGUGCCCAUGUAUUCAAACCGAGGGCAUCGACUCAUGGGACCGCUGCCAGACCCCGCUUGUGGUUAAAGCAGUCAGAAUGAAAGCAAGCUCGCUGCCUAAUCCCUGUUUGUCGGGCCAGUGGGCAGUUAAACAAUAGAUAAACUAAGCAUGUAGAGCCGAAGGCAGAGAACUGACGGACGCGGGUUCAACUCCCGCCACCUCCACCA